AUACAACCUUUGUCCUUUUGAUACUCUCCCCGGUAUCUCACCGCUGCGUCGAUGCAGAAGAGUCACUUGAAGCUGAGAAGGCUCUCCAAGAUGACAGACACUUCGGGACAGACCAAGAACAGAUUUCACGAGGAAUGAUAUGAAAAGUAUUCAACAACUGUGUAACACAAGCCACUGGCCAAAAAUCCCAGAUGCUGCUGUAGACAAGGAGGCUGUCUGCACUGGGGAUGUCCUGCCUGCUCAGUUCUGCCUCCUCUGCCUCUGUGUCACAUGCACGGAUGUGCGGAGGUCUAGUUCCUGGCUCCUGUAUUUUCCAGGAACCCUGAUCUCCAAAGAUGACGGACAUUCUAGUUGGUUCCUGCCUGAGGCUCAGCUUAACCUGUGUGGUGGCUCUGUCAGGGCCCUGUUCCUUUGCUCCAACAGGAAUCAGAUUGUGAUCAGUCUUGGAAUGCAUUCCAGAGCUGGCUGCAGCCCCAAGCCUUGCCUGGCUGGACAGCCUUGGUGCUACACAUCAGUCCUCACGUCUUCCUUCCCGGCUCCUCACACACCGCCAGUGGGUCCCUGAACCCUGAGUUUCCAUUAGUGGGCUGUGUGACACCAGGCAGGUACCAGGCAGGAACCUUUGCUACUUCCCAGGGUACAGACUGACCCUCCACCCUUGGCUUGAUUCACCUUUGUGUCUUGCCAGCCCAGGCUUCAAGCCCAAUCUAGCAGCCCAGGUCAAAUUUGGCUGGAAAUUUUUGCUUCAAGAACUUAAGUCUUCCACCCUCUGUAACAAGGCUUAUCUGUUCCUUAAGAAAGGGGUGGCGGUUCUCUUUGAGGGCGGUUUUUGUUUUGUUUUAAAAUUUCAUGCAUAAAAAAUAAAUGUAAAAUGCAUGUGAUGAAGCAAAUUUACAAAAUGAACAUCUUUGAACACAUUAGCUUAUCUAAGAAUUAGAACGUGAUCACAUGGUUGCAUCUGCCUCCAUGCCUCCUUCCCUGCUCUGUUGGCCGGCCUCUCACUAUCCUGAAUUUCGUGUUUAUUAUUUCCUUGUUUUUAAGAGCAGCUUCAUAUACAUAUGUGUAUAUCCACAAACUGAGUAUUUACUUUUGCUUAUUUUUGAACCUUAUGAAAAUAGAGUCAUAUUGUAUGCAGAUAUUUUGCUGUUCUAGAUAAUAUUGCUUUUCAUCAAAUAAAAUGGUGUUCGGAGUGAUCACAUCAACUUAUAAUCCUAUAAGCAGUAUGUACGAGUUCACAUUGGUUUACAUUCUAACAACCACUUAGCAGUAGCAGACUUAAAUUUUUUGCCA
This is a long non-coding RNA of Felis catus (domestic cat), 1290 nucleotides long. RefSeq lists it as uncharacterized. The record is from RefSeq and is a predicted model, not a curated record. The transcript is spliced from 3 exons. Lineage: Eukaryota; Metazoa; Chordata; Mammalia; Carnivora; Felidae.